This 255-nucleotide ribosomal RNA is filed under the name uncultured bacterium. RNAcentral's name for it is "partial 16S ribosomal RNA". It matches the Rfam family "Bacterial small subunit ribosomal RNA", at positions 524 to 776 of the family's 1533-position model. The record is from RNAcentral.
GACAGAGGGUGCAAACGUUGCUCGGAAUCACUGGGCGUAAAGGGCGUGUAGGCGGGUAGAUAAGUCGGGCGUGAAAUCCCUAGGCUCAACCCUAGGAACUGCACUCGAAACUGUUUAUCUUGAGUGCCGGAGAGGAAAGCGGAAUUCCUGGUGUAGAGGUGAAAUUCGUAGAUAUCAGGAGGAACACCAGUGGCGAAGGCGGCUUUCUGGACGGUAACUGACGCUGAGACGCGGAAAGCGUGGGGAGCAAACAGG